RNAcentral lists this ribosomal RNA (116 nucleotides) under Streptococcus cuniculi. Lineage: Bacteria; Bacillati; Bacillota; Bacilli; Lactobacillales; Streptococcaceae. RNAcentral also lists the same sequence under 7 other names. The record is from RNAcentral.
UUAAGUGACGAUAGCCUAGGAGAUACACCUGUACCCAUGCCGAACACAGCAGUUAAGCCCUAGAACGCCGGAAGUAGUUGGGGGUUGCCCCCUGUGAGAUAGGGUAGUCGCUUAGC